Bos indicus x Bos taurus (hybrid cattle) is the source of this 593-nucleotide long non-coding RNA. The record is from Ensembl. NCBI's taxonomy places the organism in Eukaryota, Metazoa, Chordata, Mammalia, Artiodactyla, Bovidae.
CGCAGGACCUGUCAUUCAGGGUGGCGUCACUUCCUGUUCUCUAGCGCCCGCCCCCGCUCCCCCCAACUCCUCUAGCUUCCGCACCACCCUCGCACCAAAAUGAUCUCAAGAUCACCAGGGAGCCUCCUUUCUUUUUUUCCCCAAGAACUUGACAUUUCCCCUCCCUCUGGUGCCCACAACUACGGAAGCAGCCUUGGCUGGCACAUGGCAUCUCUUCGGGACUCAAGAGUCACUACAGCUUCCAGGUAAGAUUUCAGGUCCUGAGGGUCCCUGCCUCCUGCAUUUUGGGAAGACAUUUUAAGUAACAAGAGAGCAACUAACAAACUACUUGCUGUCAGAUGGUAGUUGUUAUAUAUACAGACAGCCUGAAUCUCAGCUUGCCUUCACUUGUGAAGCCUGCCUCUGAGCCCCAGUCCCCAAUACAUACAGAUAUGUCAUCUGAUUGCCUUGUUACUUAAAUUUGUUAACUUUUGAGAGCAAUAUCAUGGAGACUCAGAAAAGGAAGAUUCUGGGAUUGUUAAACUUGCUAAAGGUUUUUACCAGUUCUCAAAUGAUUUCGGAAAUGAUCACAUUUGGAGACAUAUUACAUGCAA